RNAcentral lists this unclassified non-coding RNA (271 nucleotides) under plant metagenome. RNAcentral describes it as "partial contains small subunit ribosomal RNA, internal transcribed spacer 1, and 5.8S ribosomal RNA". The record is from RNAcentral.
UUUCCGUAGGUGAACCUGCGGAAGGAUCAUUAUUGAAAUAAAAAACUCAGGCAGGGGGGAGUGUGGUUGUAGCUGGCCCCUAAUAAGGGCAUGUGCACACUGUCUCUUUCUCUUGUUUGUUUUUUUCAUUCUUUCCACUUGUGCACUGCUUGUAGGCAGCCUGGCAUUGUUCGGGUUGUCUAUGAUUUUCUUUUACAUACAUGAAUCAUUGUUGAACAGAAUGUGAUAAAAAAUAAUAAUACAACUUUCAACAACGGAUCUCUUGGCUCUC